Molecule: ribosomal RNA, 164 nt
Filed under: Centaurea podospermifolia
Lineage: Eukaryota; Viridiplantae; Streptophyta; Magnoliopsida; Asterales; Asteraceae
Description: 5.8S ribosomal RNA
Rfam family: 5.8S ribosomal RNA
About the family: 5.8S ribosomal RNA (5.8S rRNA) is a component of the large subunit of the eukaryotic ribosome. It is transcribed by RNA polymerase I as part of the 45S precursor that also contains 18S and 28S rRNA.
Source: RNAcentral
UAAACGACUCUYGGCAACGGAUAUCUCGGCUCACGCAUCGAUGAAGAACGUAGCAAAAUGCGAUACUUGGUGUGAAUUGCAGAAUCCCGUGAACCAUCGAGUUUUUGAACGCAAGUUGCGCCCGAAGCCAUUCGGCCGAGGGCACGUUUGCCUGGGCGUCACGC